Molecule: ribosomal RNA, 406 nt
Filed under: uncultured bacterium
Lineage: Bacteria
Description: partial 16S ribosomal RNA
Rfam family: Bacterial small subunit ribosomal RNA
Source: RNAcentral
AUUGAACGCUGGCGGCAGGCCUAACACAUGCAAGUCGAACGAGUGGCGGACGGGUGAGUAAUGUCUGGGCAACUGCCCGAUGGAGGGGGAUAACUACUGGAAACGGUAGAUAAUACCGCAUACCAUCGGAUGUGCCCAGAUGGGAUUAGCUAGUAGGUGGGGUAACGGCUCACCUAGGCGACGAUCCCUAGCUGGUCUGAGAGGAUGACCGGCCACACUGGAACUGAGACACGGUCCAGACUCCUACGGGAGGCAGCAGUGGGGAAUAUUGCACAAUGGGCGAAAGCCUGAUGGAGCCAUGCCGCGUGAGUGAAGAAGGUCUUCGGGUUGUAAAGUACUGUCAUCGAGGAGGCGUUACUCGAAGAAGAAGCACCGGCUAACUCCGUGCCAGCAGCCGCGGUAAUUC